CUAAUUAAUGUGCCUAGUUACUCCAUCUAAUGAUGAUUAAUUGUUCUUCUAGUCUACUUACUUCAUUUGUCUUUGUUGUAUCCACUUCUACCGCCACCAACUAUUUGUGUCAAAGAGAAGAUGCCAAUGAGGGGAAGAGAAGAUGGCAAUGACGAGCAACGCCGUCUCUCUCAAAAAUAAAAAGCUUCAAAAUCUGAUUUUUGGAUCGUUUUCCCGGUAAU
Molecule: unclassified non-coding RNA, 221 nt
Filed under: Hevea brasiliensis (rubber tree)
Lineage: Eukaryota; Viridiplantae; Streptophyta; Magnoliopsida; Malpighiales; Euphorbiaceae
Source: RNAcentral